CCGCCCGUCACACCAUGGGAGCUGGUAAUACCCAAAGUCGGUUUGCUAACCUCGGAGGCGACUGCCUAAGGUAGGACUGGUGACUGGGGUGAAGUCGUAACAAGGUAUCCCUACGAGAACGUGGGGAUGGAUCACCUCCUUUCUACGUAGUACAAUGAAGCCCGAUGGUGGCUUCGAGACUAAAAGUUAUGGAAAAACAUCGUAUCCAGUCUUGAGAGAACUAAACUUCUCUCUUUUGUUCUUUGAAAACUGAAUAUAGACAUUGAAAAUUAAAAAAUUAAUAUUUCAAAGUUUAGAUCAACCUAUAGAAUACAAAAUCAAUACAAUAGGUCAAUACUAUACAAUUGCAUAACAAAAAAUACUAUUAAACAAGAUAAGAGUUUUUGGUGGAUGCCUUGGGUCUGGAAGUCGAUGAAGGACGUGAUUACCUGCGAUAAGCCUCGUUUAGCUGGAAAUAAGCAAUUAUACGGGGAUUUCCGAAUGGGGAAACCUAAUUAAGCUAAUCCUUAAUUAUCAUAUCGAUGAAUUCAUAGUCGAAUGAAGAGACACGCUGUGAAUUGAAACAUCUCAGUAGCAGCAGGACAAGAAAAUAAAGAAUGAUUCCCUCAGUAGUGGCGAGCGAACGGGGAAGAGCCCAAACCAACACAAGUUGUUGGGGUUGUAGGACUACUAACAUGAAGUUACAAAAUUUACAUAUAGCAGAACAAGUUGGAAUGCUUGGACGGAGAGGGUGAAAUCCCCGUAAGCGAAAUGUGUAAAUCUUCUAGUAGCAUCCUGAGUAGGGCGGGGCACGUGAAACCCUGUCUGAAUCUGCCGGGACCACCCGGUAAGGCUAAAUACUAACCAGACACCGAUAGCGAACUA
Molecule: small RNA, 864 nt
Filed under: Metamycoplasma arthritidis
Lineage: Bacteria; Bacillati; Mycoplasmatota; Mycoplasmoidales; Metamycoplasmataceae
Description: bacterial LSU rRNA
Rfam family: Bacterial large subunit ribosomal RNA (bases 364-864)
Source: RNAcentral